Molecule: long non-coding RNA, 1687 nt
Filed under: Gouania willdenowi (blunt-snouted clingfish)
Lineage: Eukaryota; Metazoa; Chordata; Actinopteri; Blenniiformes; Gobiesocidae
Description: lncRNA (ENSGWIG00000002086.1)
Source: RNAcentral
GAAGAACUUGACCGGAAACGAAUGGAGCAGCGCGGGAGAAUCUACACAGAUCUUUCUAAAUGUCAGGCUCCUCGGCUGAAGCUGACAGGUGGGCGGAGCCUAAAAGGAUGUGGGCGGAGUCAGUGGAACAGUCCAGCAGAGGUUUCUGUGGAUUCUGCAGAGUUUUCUACUCAAACCUGCAGCAGCACCUGUCCAGUCAGAGUCACCUGACGUCCGUCCAAUCAUCAUCCAGAGCCAGGCCGCUGUUGGAGCGCUUCCUCCAGGACGUCCUGCUACACCACCCGCUCAACUACAGCGACCCCAGGCCGUCCCACGACGACCUCCCAUUGGUCCCCGCUCCUCCAAGGGCCACGCCCCUUCUGCUGCUCCAAUCACAGGAGGACUCUGUGGAUAGAACCAAUGAGCAGGGGGAGGCAGCCAAUCAGAGCCGUUACCAUGGCAACAGGCAGCAGGAUGACACCAACAACCCCCAUCUCAUCUCCAUGGAAACCAUUAGUGAAGGCUGGGACUCACCUGUGCAGAUUGUGAUGGACACACCUGUCCAGGUGAGGCAGUGGGAGCUGCAGAACGUCCGUUCUCUGAUGGACUCCCACGUUCACCUGGACAAUCAGCUGUAUGAGUCUCACCUGUGCUCAGCGCUGGGGGCGGGGCCUGGACCAGGGGGCGGGGCCUCACGCUCGGGGUUUUGGUAUGCCCCCAUUGAGACGAUUCUUCCUGCCCCAGAACACAUUCCUGAUUGGCUGAGAGGGAAGAGCUGGGCUCAGGUAGAGCAGGAGGACGAGGAGCACGUGGAGAGGCUGGUUCGACAGUUCAGACGAGGACGCUUCACAUGCUUCUUCGAUUCAGAGUCGUUAGCCAGGUACGGGAGGCGGAGCCACAAAAAGAAGAGGUGGGAGGAUCCAGAGCCAAACACAGGUGCGCCGUUGUCAUUGGCCCAUGAUGACGGUGACUCAGAGGUGCCGAGAAGGAGGCGGAGCUUCAGGGCUUCCAGGUGCCAGGUGGUUAAAGUCAGCCGCAGCACACAGACCAGUCACAUGAUGAGUCACAUGACCAGCCCUCAACCAACCACAGAGGCCCCACCCACCACUAAGACCCCUUCGCCAAUAGUGGUGCCUGGAACCAAUCCAAGCCAAGAGGAACGGACGCCAAAGCGCUGUUUCAUCUCACCUGUGCAACUAAUCACAACACACCUGUACGUGUUGUCAGGCCCCGCCCCUUCCUGUGUCCUCAGCUCCGACUACAAACACUGUAGGAAGAAGAGGCGUCCUCAAAAUCAGCUGAGGUCAAAGGUCAAAUACAAACGCUCCCCUGUGUGGAUCUAUGACCCAACUACCUGUCGCCCCUUAAGCCCCACCCCCAGCCCUUUAAUCUCCACCCUGAGCCUUUUAAGCCCCGCCCCCCAGGCUCACGUUCGUCAGCUCUUCAGGAGCCUCAGUCCAGACCUGAACACAGCUGGGGUCAAAGGUCACAAGCCAGUCGCCCUUGGCCAGGGCAGGAGGGGGCGUGUCUCAAGGCGAGGUCGCAUAUCACAGCCUCAGGCCACGCCCCAUCUGCCCAGGAGGGCGGGACUAAGGAGUGGUGUGAGGGGGCGGAGCUAGCAGCUCACCUUAGUAAGAACAAAGUGGACUCGUUUGUUUAUCUGUUUAUUUCAGUUCAUUAAAUAAAGUUUUACACCUGCUCUGUCUCA